This is a non-coding RNA of Epinephelus lanceolatus (giant grouper), 1162 nucleotides long. Lineage: Eukaryota; Metazoa; Chordata; Actinopteri; Perciformes; Serranidae. The record is from RefSeq and is a predicted model, not a curated record.
AGAUCUUCUGCAGCGCAGCUUGAAAGCCCCGUCCCCUUCAGCCUUCUGCAAGCCCUGCCAGAGCUGCCAGGCAGCGCGAUGCCAGCAACCUGAGCGACAGCUGGCGAUUUUGAAUCUUUUGGUGUGAAUGCAAUUAGUGGUAGAGCAGGCGCCCCAUGUACAAGGCUGUUGCCGCAGCGGCCCGGGUUCGACUCCAGCCUGUGGCCCUUUGCUACAUGUCACUCCCUCUCUCUCUCCCCCUUUCACGCUUGUCUGUCCUAUCCAUUAAAGGCUGAAAAGCCCCCCAAAAAUAUCUUUAAUUUCCUGAUCUUUUUGGCUUCUUACAACAGAGAAAAACAGUGUCUAGUUGGGGCUCCUUGUCACAUGUCAAGGAGUUGUUAGUUUCACCAAAGAGAGAUUUCCCUUCAACCUUUCUAACAUGGUUUCAUUAAUAACUGUUAUAUGUCCAAAGAGCUAAAUUUAUCCAACAUUUCACAAAAAGCACAAUGCAAAAUGCUCUAAUUCUGUGAAAAGAAGUUAAAAGUAGCUCCUAGACCAGCUAUACCAGUAAAAUGCUGCUUGCACAUUAAUGCAUCAGUAAUAACAGUCUAAGUAGUAUUUUGAAUCAAGCAGUUUUACUUGUAAUGGGGUAUCUAAAGAUUGUUGAACUUGUACUUCAGUGAAGGAUCUGAUUACCACUGUACUGAAUUUGGAGCACAGUUUCAGAAAAGAAAUGUGGCUAUUAAAUGUUUUUUGUUGUUUUUUUCAACCAAGCCAGCUUCACAAGGAAUUGGUUCCCAGUUUGGUGUAGAAGAACUUGACUGGCCUGCACAGAGCUCUGACCUGGAGCCCAUCUAAUCUUAACAAUGACUGAGAGUCAAGCCUUAUGGCCACAAUCACUUCUUAACCUCAUUAUGGUCUCGAAACUGAAUGUCUCAGUUGUUUUCCAGGUCCUUUCCAUUCCACCACAGGUAAUGUGUCGGGCCGCUAUGAGACAGGCAUCACUCCAGCUGGCUGGACCUUCUCUAUCUGGGGUGUUAUCUAUACCUGGCUAACCCUGAUGGUCAUAUACCUCACAACAUACGUAUUCCGAGGAUCCUGGGCUCAGUGUCUGCUGCCCUACAGCUUCUAUUUUUGCUGGCUGUCCAACAUGCUGAUGAACAUGAUAUGGCUGCUGCUGUGG